Molecule: small RNA, 27 nt
Filed under: Bombyx mori (domestic silkworm)
Lineage: Eukaryota; Metazoa; Arthropoda; Insecta; Lepidoptera; Bombycidae
Description: ovarian small RNA-13970
Source: RNAcentral
CCUCCGAGGUGUGAAUGUCGAGUUCAG